AGUAGUCUCAUUGCCUGAAACAGUACCUGGGUCCUUUUUCUCACGACCAAGGAAGUUAAGGAGCACAGACACCAAGGGUGAGGUUGUAGCGAAAGUUUAAUAAUUGAAUGAAGAAGGCUCUUUGCUGCAGAGAGGGGACCCAGAAGAGAGCCGCCGUUUUUACAGUUGAAUGCAAAGCUUCUAUAAGAAACCUAUGAGGGCUGGGCAUCUCAUUUGCAUAAGGUGCACCUUUCUGGUAGCUCCACCCUGUCCUCCUAAUGUACAUGCGGGCCCUUAGCUUGAGUUCUUCCCUAUUGCUUUGUUGCACAUGUGUCAGGGGAUGACAUUUUCCAUUGUGAGCAUGUCUGGGCAAGUCUCCUGUGUAGCCUUUCUUAUCUGUGCAGCUGUGGGCAUGUCUUCGGCAAGCCCCUCUGUGCAAGUUCCCUUAUCUGUGCCUGCAGGCUCUUCUUUAGUUUGAAAGGAUUCAGCUGAGGACCCACCCUAACUGCCUGCCUGAUGGGUUUUUUUCCUUUCUCCUCUCUCAUUCUGAGGGAUUGGCACAUGAAGAUAUGGAGGCUGAGAAGUUCCACAGUCAAUUGUCUGCAACAGCAGUCUCGGAUAUGUCUUUAUCAGCAGCGUGAAAAUGGACUAAUACAGCAGUAAAGCCAGUGAUGGCGAUCCAGCCCAAACCUGAAGGCCAGAGAGCCAGGGGAGCCAAUGGCGACAAUCUCCAUCUGAGCUGGAAGGCCUAACAAUAGGGAGUAGCAGUGUCUGAGGACAGGAGGAGAUGGAUGUCCCAGCUCAAGCGGAGAGAGAUGCCAUUCCAAGAAAACCAUGGAAGCAGAAAAGAGGAAGGCAGAAACACAGAUGAAGUAAGAAGCUAUGUCCUCUGUGCAUGGAGACAGCAGAUCUAUUAGUAGACAGGAUGAAGAGAAAAGGUGGGAAGAAAAGCCACAUGGCUGAUGUGACAAGGAAGAAAGUGAGUCUCUCAGCUCUUCUGUUCUUGUUUUUCCUCUUUUCCCAGUGCCAAGAAAUGUGUUUUUGGGGGCUGCAUUCUUCCCACCGUAAUUUAGAAGGAUGCUGUUGCCAGGUUUGAAGACCACUUGAAACAAUAAUUGUUGUUAUUCUGCUAUACUUACCAAGAAUGACAAAACUAUUUACAUGCUGGGGAUAGCAUGCUAGAAAAAUUGCUAAACAAAUUGUAUUUUUUUCCUUCUAUAAAAUCAGAGUUGCAAAGAGCAAUAUAUUAGGCAUUUUCUUUGCCAAAGAACUUUAGCUACGAUUUUCUCCUUCUUUAAAAUUCAUAUUAAUGAUCGUAGAUACCAGGUUUCUAAGGGAAAGACUCUUUGCAACAUCUUCUAUAUAUACCCUGGGUGUUUCUGUAUUGAAUUUACUUAAGAUUUAGGCUCUACAGUUUGAUCUCUAUCAUGUAAAAAUAUAUAGCAAGAAGGUUCCUGGGACAAACACUGAAAUGUUUAUUUUUAAUUUUCUCUGGGCAUUGACAUUCUGGAUGAUUUUAUGUUUUCAUACUUCUUUCUAUUUUCCAUAUAUUUUACAAUCUGUA
Long non-coding RNA from Piliocolobus tephrosceles (Ugandan red Colobus), 1543 nucleotides. RefSeq lists it as uncharacterized. The transcript is spliced from 3 exons. NCBI's taxonomy places the organism in Eukaryota, Metazoa, Chordata, Mammalia, Primates, Cercopithecidae. The record is from RefSeq and is a predicted model, not a curated record.